UAGACAAGGUUCCUGGCAGAAAGCUCACUGGACCUGGAGGGAGAACUAGCCCAGGCCCUGGGAACAUUUUUUGGAUUAAAGACUCAUGGUAUGCUAUUAGGAAAGCGCUAACCGAGUUUUAUUUGAAAGCUGAAUUGCGACUGGAUCAUAGAGCAAAUGGAAAGAGAUCUUCCUUGUACUGGUUAACUCUUCAAAUGCUUGCAACAGUCAGGGCUGGGCCAAGAGGAAGUAAGGCAUCAAGAACUCAAUUUGAGUCAGCCACUUGCAGCCUCCCAGCAUGUCCCUUGGAUUCAAACCCAGAAUGCUACCUGAGAUUGAUCUGAAACAGAAGCUUCCCAGCCACUCCUCUACUCAAAACGUCUACUAUUUCACAAUAUUAUUAAAGCCCAACUGUUCACAAUAUUAUAAAACCUAAAAACUACUGGAUGAAAUUAUUUGGUGAAUCAAAUAGGAGAAACCAUAAUUUGGUAUUACUAAUUUCUUAUUAUCUCUUCUUCACAAUUUAUCUUCACCUCUAAAUAGACUUCAUUUACUGUAUAAAACUAUAAACUUGUAAAGUAUAAAGAUAUACAUCUACAAACUACUGAAAGGCAGGACUGCCUAUUUCAUAGUACCCUCAGCAUAAUCCACAGAUGAUUUUGGUGUUUAGUAUAUGAUGUAAUUGUAUAGCAUACCUACUCUUUGAUGGAGUACCCAUUGUAUGAACCAUCUCAAGAAUAAAAGCUGUUUUGCUCCCACUGUGAUACAUUUCAAAGUGCGUCAGCAUGUGUGCCU
Molecule: non-coding RNA, 774 nt
Organism: Oryctolagus cuniculus (rabbit)
Lineage: Eukaryota; Metazoa; Chordata; Mammalia; Lagomorpha; Leporidae
Source: RefSeq, a predicted model, not a curated record